This 3849-nucleotide long non-coding RNA is filed under the name Triticum aestivum (bread wheat). RNAcentral's name for it is "long non-coding RNA (TAES_LNC006236)". Lineage: Eukaryota; Viridiplantae; Streptophyta; Magnoliopsida; Poales; Poaceae. The record is from RNAcentral.
UAAGGAAUAGUUCAAGGGAGUGUCUAUUCAGCACUUGACUGUUUUUCAAUUCGGUAACAUUCACAUUUCUUGACAAAUAAACACAGCACACUUGUAUGUCCAAAAAUAACCACCCAGCGACUAUAUGUUUUCUAUUUCUAAAAAACGGGCUGGGCUAAACUGUCACCCAGUUUCAACUAAACCUGGACCACAGGAUACUCUGGAAAUGAGUGAUCGCUAGCAGUGCCUAAACUUGGGAAAUUACAGAAACUUUGAAGUAUAUAAUGAAGAAAUACAGUGGCAAAAAUCAUAGAACCUACACUAUAAUCCUGAGGUAGCUGAAAAUUACACUUAAACUCAAUACUAGUGAAAGCAUGCAGAAAAAUACAAAAGAAUAUGCGCACCUGAUACCAUAGGAACAUUCAGAAAAAUGACAGGAACUCAUUUCCGGAGUAUAAUACUAAAACAAGGCUGCAAAGAGUAGAAAGAAGAAGAAAAUCAGAGCCUACAGACUGCGUAGACAAAGUAAAUGACACUGAAAAUUUACCAAGAAUUGCAGUGCAAAAGAGUCCAAGAACGCCUACAAAUUACAGUCCAAGAUUUACACUUUGCCAACUUACACUGCAACUGCCUAACAAUUACACUGCAAUAGUCCAAGACUUACAGUGUAAAUCCCCUGGAAAUUAUAGUCCACUGACACAGGAAUUGACACUGAAAACUACAAGAGAUUUAAACUUGCCAAAACUUGUCAGCUUACACGGUGAAGUACCUAGGAAUUACAGUGUAACUGCACAAAAAAUACCAUGGAAAUCGCCUAGAAUAUACAGUGUAAAUUAGACUGUAAAAAUGAACAUUUACAUUGUAAGAAUGUUGUUGAUCAGGAUUUACAGCGAAAUAACCCAGGAACUACACUGUAAAGUGCCCCUAUAUAUACAUUGUAACUUCCUGGACAAUGUAGAAACACAUGGGCUUACACUGAAAAAAAAAACAUAGAAUUACCAAAUGUCGCGGAACUUACAAGUACAAUGAUCAGUGAAAGUACAGAUCAAGUACAAUGAAAAUGCCCUGGAUUUACAGUGUAAGAACGGUGCAUAAAACUACUAAACUACAUAGCAAGUACACUGAAAAAGCAUAUGAACUUACAGUGUAAAUACAGACUAAAAAUGCAGAGUAACUACAGCGAUACUACCAUGAUAAAUACAGUGUAAAUCACCAAAAAAUCUAUGCUGGAAAUACCAAGGGAACUAAAAUACCCAUGAACUUUAAAAAUACACCGGAAAGACCACUAUCCUCCUAAUUCUCGACUUUUUAUACAGAUCCAGUAAAUUCACAGAUAAUUCUUUAAAAAAAUGUAGAUGGGGAGCAUGAGAAGAACAAUAACAAAAGACAAUCUACUGUCACUAUUACAAGAAGAUCUCAUUCAAAAUGUGAGUAUCACUAAAUGGCAAAAACACAGAAGAAAAUGUUGGGUACAUCAAAAUCAAAAUAGCUCACAGAAAAAAUACACUGUAGGAAUCGUUUUCUUUUACAGCACUCCUACAAUAAGACAUUAUGUACAAGGUCAGAAAAGCAACUUUGAAAUACAGUAGUGGUACCAAACCUCUUGAGAAAAAAGAGUGUUUUCUUAGUAUGCUAUUCCAACAAGAACUCCAGUUAACUUAACGUGGUGAUUGCAGGUACAUUCGGCAAAUGGGGCUACAUCAACAACACAAUCAAGAGUGGAGGACUCCAGUAACAAAACGCAUAACACCAACAACCCAACAAUUCAUUCUAGAGUAAGUGAAACUAUUGGUGAAAAACUCAUGACCUGGCAAAAAAUUGAGAAACAUACAUCUUGAGAACUCUGCUGCAGACAUUGGAAGAAAUGCAAAACGAAGCUACACCAAGCGAAGAAGGCGCAACAGAACUGAACCCCUGGAAAACAGACAUGUUUGCCCACAUGAAUUUGGAACAGGUGGGCACAUUAAUAAAAUUUCAGAAACAAGUACAUAUCAUACAAGUUGAAACUAGUAAGAAUAAUAAAUCGGAAACAAAAUGCUAAGUAUCCAGGAGACUGAAGAUGUUCACCCCAGUUCAGCAGCAACAAAAGCAAACUCAAACACUUGCCACAGCAAUGAAGAAAGAGAAAGGGGAGAAUCAGAGCACUCACACAAAUGCAAAUUCCGAAGAUGAUACUAAUGUAACGUCCUGGCGAGAGACUUUCCGAAGCUUACCCAUUAAACUAAAACCUAUAAAUUGCAGAGCUAAAGCAUGAGUAUUACACUAAAAAUUAGGGCGGAAAUUACACUAUAAAUACAGAAAUAAAAGCAAGGGGGCUUAGACUGUAAAUCUGGGAUAACACUACAUUAUUGGGAACAUUACACUGUAAAUACAUAGAAUAAGCAAGGCGUUUAAAACUAGGGUUACACUGGAAUUCUUGGGAAGAUUACACUGUAAACAGGACAUAGUUCAUAACUGCACCACAACGACACUCGAACAAUCAACAAGAAUGAAAGCCAAAAUUUCAGGAAUUACAUAACCGAAUCAUACAAAAUUACACUGUAAAAAAUGGGACACAUUAUAACUCUGGGAUAACAUGUAAGCAACAUGUGAAUUACACAGUAACUCUGGGGGUAAUUACAUUGAAACUCUGGGACAAAUUGCACAACAACUCUAAGGUAUAUUACACUGGAACUCUGGGGUAAUUACACAGUAACUCUAGGGUAAUCACAGUGUGUAAAACUCUAGGGUCAAGUACAUAAUAAGCAUGAGAAUUACACGGUAACUCUGGGGGGAAUUACACUGCAACUCAGGGAAAUUACACAGUAACUCUGGCCUAUAUUACACUGAAACUCUGGACAUAAUUACGCAGUAACUCUAGGAUAAUUACACUACAGAAACAUAAGUAAAAUACAGGCUCAAUACAAAUAGAGUUACACUGCAAAUCCUGGUUGGUUCAAUCAACCAGGAGCAUUAGAAAAAUGAAAGAAUAGAGGAAUUGAAGUGCAAAGCACAUAAAAGUACAGAGAAAAGCGCAUGAUUCAAUAGAAAAUCUAGAUAACCUACAUGAACUUCAGAAAACAAAUACUAGCAAAAGAACACAUAAAUUAUUGUGCUUACACUCUAAUACAUGAGCACUGAAAAAAAUACAUUGAUAAGAACCAACACUCACAAACUAGGGGUAAGUACAGGGCUAGAACACAGGGGGAAAUAGAAAAUAUAACCUGGAAAAUACACCAAAAACAGAGCUAACUGGAGGCUGGGGUAAGUCUGAUACACCCAGAGGCCAUUGAUAACACUCAGAAGUCAUGGAACCUGUGCACUGCAUGCAGUAGAGGCCACUGGUAACAACUAACUACAACUAAACCUACCAAAAUUCAUGUAUCUACAACAAAAAACCAACAGGAUCCAUGAACAUAAAGACCACCUGCCAGCGCAAGUCACCAAACUCUAACCACAAAAACACUCAUCUGAAACCCUGCAUCUAAUCCAUACAUCUACAUCUAACAAAAAAUCGAGACAACUACCAGCGCCUACACAAGAGUAGAUGGGGAACAAUGGAGGAUUACGCAUGCCAGGAAGCAGAGCCAACCGCUAAAACUACAAGCACCUACCACGAAUCUACAACAACACGGCGGCUACAAACACCAAUCACGAACCCACAAAGAAAUCACGGCAGCAAUUCACCUAGAUCUGGAAAGCCACACACCCAGAAACAAUCAAAAAUCAUGCGCGGGAGGGAGAAUGACGAGGCCGACCAACCGAAGACGUCAUGAAUCGAAGAGGAAGGGGAGAGAAAUCAAACUCGACAGGUGGGGGGAGGAGGGUCUCAGAAUCGACAUGAACAACACGAAUCGCCUGGUCUCCUCCUCCUCCGCUCGAGUGCCCCUU